Long non-coding RNA from Vicia villosa (hairy vetch), 1475 nucleotides. RefSeq lists it as uncharacterized. Lineage: Eukaryota; Viridiplantae; Streptophyta; Magnoliopsida; Fabales; Fabaceae. The transcript is spliced from 2 exons. The record is from RefSeq and is a predicted model, not a curated record.
AGUUAAUCACAUUAAGUCUGUUAAACCACAAUUCAAUUGCCAAAAUAAUCACAAAUAUUCUCACUUAAUUACACAUUAGCAAAAGGAGAAUUAAAAAGAGGGAUUAGGGUUUUACAUGGCAAUUGGAAUCCUUCUCAGACUCUCCUCUCAUCGGACACGACGGCGGCACAGCGGAGAUGAUCAUCUUCUCCGACCGAACCUCGCUCACGUCUCUCAUCUCUCCAUCUCAAUAACUCCGAUCACUCUUAUCACCGGCGAAGUGUGACGUACGGACUUGUCCUCCUUCUCCUUCGUGAACUCGCGGCGGCGAUUCCUCUGAUUCAAACUCAGCUCAACCAGAAACAAAUCCGGUUCUUCUUCAAUCUUGAUUCAACGACGAGAAAUCCAGAGAUAAAGUGGUACAUGAACGAGUUUUCGUUACCGAUCUGCUCCUUCCCUUUCAGACGGAUUCUGCGUGAUGAUGAUGCGAUGAUGACGAAGAUCGAGUCGAAUGGUGAUGAAACAUCGAGAACUCGGUAAGAGGUCCUUUCUUCUCCUGGUUUCUUUCCGAGUUGUUGCGCUGUUAUCGUAUCAUGUUGAUGCAGAUGAAGAAGAAUUGAAGUCGUUGCUUGAAGGUUGCAGGUUGAUUGAAGCGAUGGAGAAGAAUUGCAAGGAAGCUGAGUUCGGUUUGUUGCAGGUUAUCGAAGGAAUUGAUGGAUUGGAGGUUGUUUCGGUGAUGAUGUUGAUGAAGAUUGAAGAUUGAAGAUUGUUGUGAGUUAAUUUCACCAUUUCUGUUGGAGGUGAAUCGAGAAAGAACGAUGAAGGUUGAAGGUUUUUGUGGUGAUGAUCAAUGAAUGGAAGAGGAUUUCGGUUAGAGAAUGAAGAUGAUGAAGAUGAUAGAAAGAGAUUGGUUAUGGCUGAGAAUGGAAGAUGUGAGAUUAUGGAUUCAAGUUCUUGUAUGGUGAAUCGGUGGUGAGAUUGAAGAAUUGAUGAAUGAAGAGUCUGAAGAUUAAUGGUUGAAGAUGGAUCGUGAAGAGCUUGAAGUUUGUUACGUUUCUCUUUCGGUCCUUCAUUUUUUCGUUCUCCGUUUUCUGUUAUGGUUUGUUACUGAUUUUUUUCCUUAUGCCCCCCUCCUGAGCUUGAGCUUUUGUGUUGUUUUUUGAUUCGGUUCUCCUCAAGCUUCUUGGACCGGUUCUGGAUUUUGAAGUGCAGUACCGUUUAGGUGUUGCUGCAAGUUUCAUUUUGGUUGAACCGAAACCGGUUCGGUUGAUUAUGUGAUGCAGCUCUUGUAGAAUGAGAAUGGCGAUUGUGUAUGGUGCAAGCUGUAGCAGGCAUUUGGGCCUUAGAAGAAUAGGCCCCCCUCUUUGUUGUAAUUUCUUUGUAAUUUUGCUUUUGUAAUGGACCUCUUGGAUUUGAACUUGUAAUUGCCUUUGAAUGAAUGUUUGAAUGUAAUCUUGUAAAUUUCUCUUGUGAAAAACCUUGAAUUUAUCUCUUGA